GGGAGUUUGGCCGAGUGGUUAAGGCGUUGUGUUUAGGUCAUCAUCCACCAAAUGGGGAUACCUCAAAACCGCAAUGGGAAACCGCGCAGGUUCGAAUCCUGCAGCUCUCA
Camillea tinctor is the source of this 110-nucleotide non-coding RNA. NCBI's taxonomy places the organism in Eukaryota, Fungi, Ascomycota, Sordariomycetes, Xylariales, Graphostromataceae. The record is from the annotation of a GenBank genome assembly.